Long non-coding RNA from Salvator merianae (Argentine black and white tegu), 1809 nucleotides. The record is from Ensembl. Lineage: Eukaryota; Metazoa; Chordata; Lepidosauria; Squamata; Teiidae.
CUAAGGGAGCUCGUGCUUUCCAAAAAAAGGAACUUUUCCAAACUUUAUUCCAAGAUUAAAACGUCGAUCUCGCCUUCUUCUCAAAUGUUCUAGGAGGAUCUCAGGAUUGAGUUAGCCUAUUUCACUGUGUGUUACCUGUGGGGCUGCCCUUGAAGGCCAUUUGGAAGCUGAGACUCUGGCCAUGAGGUGAAUAGUGGGACUUUCUGACCGGAGAUGCAUUGUGCUGCGCCUGAAAAAUCUGCAUUAUAUUGUCGGACACCCCCCCCACCCCCCCACCCCAGUUGUCUCCCAGCACACAGAAGGAGAUUUUGCAAGUUCCGUGAAUUUCCCUUGCUUCUCUGCAGCGUUUGCAGAUUGCUCNGUUGUGUGAGUCAGCCGUAAAAUAUCUCCCAGCUACCUCUGCUCCAGUCGGGAUUUUCAUGACUGGCUCUGAGAGGGAAAGAUGCAACUGUAGGCGCCGCCAUCGCUUGGAGAUUCUGAGUCACUCUGGCAACGCGGCGAGCAAAGCAGCCAGCCACAGGCUGCGAGUGUGGCUCAAGCAAAGAAGGAAGUCAGGGAGAGGCAUAAAAAAGAGUCGGCAAGGAUCAGCUGCAUUUAUCCAAGGAGCUCUAGGAAAAGAUGUGGUUCUUCCUCGCCCAGUGGAGAAUCAGAUUCACUGGCAGACUCCAGAUUCCUCCCAAAUCUUCACCUAUAAGAGGAAGAAGUGGACUGAAGCUGGAUUAAAACUUCGCAUAGAUAGGCCUUGGGGAAAAAAUGCGUCAACAGUCAAUGAAAAAUGUGAAUUUUGUUCGUGCACAUCCCUAAUUUAAAAGUAGAAGUCUGGGUCAUAAAACUAGACAGAAUGAAAGACUCUUCUUGAGAGCAGAAAUAUUGGGGUGGGAAAAUGCUAUCAGGUCAUGGGGCAUAUUUGUCUCCAUAGUUUAUUCGGGGUCGAAAUUUUAAAAAAUUGCAGCAUUAAGUCUUUUGAAUGGAGAUACUCAGUUGGACCGGGAAGAUACCAAAUUAAUAUUCCUGCCUGGACUUGGUCUGUUACGGGAUUGGACUUUGUUCAGAUCUGAGGUUGUUGCAAUGCAGUUGGCGCAUUAUGGUGUCAUAUUUUCCAACUGGCGUUGUCCUCAACUCAGUAGUUGCCAGUGUGUGCCAAAUUCUGUUUUUCCAUUACUGUUCACAUGACAUCAUUGCCAUCGAAUUGCCAAUCCACAUGCCUCAAUUUAGUGUGGAUUUCACCUAAAAUACACUCACUCACUGUCUCUUUCUCAACCUCUCUCUCUCACACACACACACACACACAUAGAGGGAGGAAGAGAAACAACUGUGUCUUGGCUACAGGAAUCCAUUCAUCCCAUUCUGGAUGGGUCCCCACUUCAAACAUGUAUUUUGAUGGUUGUUUUGGCAAUGUAUCUAGGCUGGAGAUGGACCCAACAAGAAGAACACACUGGGGCCCUCGCACCAUGCAAUGUGAGAUCAGAAAAGUGCAAGCACAGGGGUUAAGGAAAGCAUAAGAACCUUCAACCAUGCAGGGAGAUCUUAUCCACCAACGUAAGACAAGAGUGCGGCAGAAGGAAGUCCUAGCUGGCCAAUCAAGUUGGUGACACGGCUCAGGGGAGGCCAGGCUAUCAACAGACCAAGCAUGAGGUUGAGGAAAAGGCCCCAUCUGUUAAGAUAAGGGAUUGGCACGGUGAAGAGGAGGCCAUACUAUCGAUGUCAGUAAUCUCAAAGAGAGGAUACCACAUCAGUAUGUCAACAGCAUUGCAAAACGGAGACCCAGUCUACAACCUUAAGUACAGGAGCAGUGCAGAGGCCUCACUC